Molecule: long non-coding RNA, 425 nt
Filed under: Homo sapiens (human)
Lineage: Eukaryota; Metazoa; Chordata; Mammalia; Primates; Hominidae
Description: HSALNT0234602
Source: RNAcentral
CUGACAGCUCUGAGGGUGGCAGCCCCCCGCAGGACCCAGGAAGUCAGAGUCCCCAGGGCAGCCAGGCCUGAGCUGGCCUCGAAGCCACCAGCCCACUCAGAACAACCGUCUGUAGGGCUCAUCAGAAACACAAACAGCCCAGCGGGACAAACACGCUUGGAGUUGGCCACCCUGGGGCCACAGCCCAGCUGCCCCUGUCAGUGACAGGAUGUCUCCAAGUUCAAGGCCAUCAUCUCCAGGUGGAGAUGAGGAAGCAGAGGCUCAGGGCGCAGCGAACAUUCUCUCAGGUCAUCAGCAGCAGAGCUGGGAAGCUCGUGCAUGAAGUUUAGGUGUCUGUAUAGACAGCUCCUCUUCUCACUGGAUUUAUAGGCUCCCCCUCCUUUCUGCAGAGGGCAGGGAGCUCAUUCAAUAAACAGAAUCAAUGA